AUCCAGACUCCUACGGGAGGCAGCAGUGGGGAAUAUUGCACAAUGGGGGAAACCCUGAUGCAGCGACGCCGCGUGAGCGAAGAAGUAUUUCGGUAUGUAAAGCUCUAUCAGCAGGGAAGAAAAAAUGACGGUACCUGACUAAGAAGCACCGGCUAAAUACGUGCCAGCAGCCGCGGUAAUACGUAUGGUGCAAGCGUUAUCCGGAUUUACUGGGUGUAAAGGGAGCGCAGGCGGUACGGCAAGUCUGAUGUGAAAGCCCGGGGCCCAACCCCGGGACUGCUCUGGAAACUGCGUCGCUGGAGUACGGGAGGGGCAGGCGGAAUUCCUGGUGUAGCGGUGAAAUGCGUAGAUAUCAGGAGGAACACCGGCGGCGAAGGCGGCCUGCUGGACCGUGACUGACGUUGAGGCUCGAGAGCGUGGGGAGCAAACAGGAUUAGAUACCCCCGGACA
RNAcentral lists this ribosomal RNA (450 nucleotides) under uncultured bacterium. RNAcentral describes it as "bacterial SSU rRNA". It matches the Rfam family "Bacterial small subunit ribosomal RNA", at positions 329 to 792 of the family's 1533-position model. The record is from RNAcentral.